UCCAAUGUAAUACUUCUCUAUGUGAUUCAAUUGAAUAUGAUUUGGAACAUACUUCCUAAGUCAUAUUCGUAUGCUUUGGCCAAAGACUCUCGAAUCAUAUCUUAGAGUAUUCUCCUUCCACCAUGGAAGGUUAGAGAUUCCUUGUUGUGCAUUCAUAUGCCUACAUGACUAGAUAGCUUGACCCCAACAAUGACGUGGACACCCUCAAUGGAAUGCCUUUGACAUGAUCAAAGAUCAAGGACCUAACCAUUAGACAUCUAUGAUGCCUCAGGUCAAAGGACUACUUUGCAUAUUGCAACUUAUGAGUUCUUACAUGACAUGUAUGUUCGAACUCUCUUUUGAUCGUUGUUCAAUGUACUUGAUUACUCUUUUAAGCACCUAUGUGUUUGUCUUAGUAUCCAACACUAAAUGACUUGAGACUAGUCAUACUCACGCUUGAGUUGACAUAACACAUACUAACCUUAACGGAUUGUCAAUGCCCAAUUGGCAAUCCUAUGGCUAGGAACGUUUUAGGAAUGAACAUAAGAGAAAGGUCUCGUU
Molecule: long non-coding RNA, 540 nt
Filed under: Malus domestica (apple)
Lineage: Eukaryota; Viridiplantae; Streptophyta; Magnoliopsida; Rosales; Rosaceae
Description: long non-coding RNA (MDOM_LNC012480)
Source: RNAcentral